Non-coding RNA from Misgurnus anguillicaudatus (oriental weatherfish), 615 nucleotides. The record is from RefSeq and is a predicted model, not a curated record. NCBI's taxonomy places the organism in Eukaryota, Metazoa, Chordata, Actinopteri, Cypriniformes, Cobitidae.
GGUAACGGAGAAGACCCCAACUCAUAUGCAUUGCAGUCCACUUCAAAAUACACUAAAUAUUAUGGACAGGAAAUUACAUUAUGACUUUGGAUUAUCAUGUCAGGAUCGAGAUCAUGAGAAAAAUAAGUCGUGAUCACGAGAAAACAACUUUUGUUAUCUCGAGAAAACGAGAAAUUAAGUCGUGAUCACGAGAAAACAAACGAGAAAAAAUAAUAGUGCGUGUCCUCUCUCGGCUUCCGUACUACGAAGAAAGAUACAGUGCGAAUGUAUUUUUGCUAAAGACCAUUAUCCCGCUUAUUACACGGCUAUUUACCUCAUAAGUAUGCAAUGGAUGACACUGUGAUGCAGUAUGUGGGGAUGACUGUCAACUUUAAACACCCCUCAGACUAUUAUUGGCAUAGUCCAGUGCAGAUUGGGUCAGUUAGCAUCCUUGCGUGCCAGUCGAGUGCCACGUGGAAACGUAUUUGUGGUUGUUGCUUUGCCAAACCCGAGUUGGAGCGAUGAUAGAUGUAACAAGCGAGAGGAAGAGUUUGGCUGUCCACACCAGCAACAGAGACUGACCGAUGAGCACUCAUUCCGGCAGAGCUCUUAACUAACUUUCUACCAAGCACGAAG